This 1040-nucleotide long non-coding RNA is filed under the name Homo sapiens (human). RNAcentral's name for it is "non-protein coding lnc-CD63-5:1". The record is from RNAcentral. Lineage: Eukaryota; Metazoa; Chordata; Mammalia; Primates; Hominidae.
AGCUUCGGGCCAUUGUAGUGACCUUGUCCUACAGUCUCCAGACCCCUCGGCUCCGGCGACAGGCUCCUGGCCAGGGGCUGCCUCCAGUGGCCCCCAUCCUCAAUGCCCACCAGCCCAGCACCCAGCGGGCAGAGAUCCACUUCCUGAAGCAAGGCUGUGGUGAAGACAAGAUCUGCCAGAGCAAUCUGCAGCUGGUCCGCGCCCGCUUCUGUACCCGGGUCAGCGACACGGAAUUCCAACCUCUGCCCAUGUGAGGGGGGCAGAGAGCAGGGUGGGGGUGGGAGGGCAAGAGUUCAAGGAUUGAGAGAAAGCCCUCUCAGGAGGACCAGUCAGAGGGAAGGGCUGAGCCUGCAGAAAAGGCAGAAGGUGGAAGAGGACCUGCCGAUGGACUUGGAGACUGAGAUGAGGGUCAGUGAUGGGGCCACGGGGGCUCCCAUGGCAAGGAAUAGCAAUCCUUCACAGUACACUAAUAAUAUGCAGUCUACAUACAUCUCAUUGGUUAGUCUUCAAACCUCUGUGAGGUAGGAAUUAUAUUAGUCUCAUUUUAUAGAUGGAGAACUGAAGCCUAGAGAGGUUAAGUUACUUGGCCAAGGUAAGUAAUGGUGGAGCUGAGAUGAGAACGGAGGUCCCCUGACUCCCAGUCGUGUGUACAGAGGCCUGAGGCUUGGACGGGUGUGAUGGGGACCUGGGGUGGGAAGAGAGGCUCAGGGAGUGAAGGCAGGUACUGGGGGAGCAGACUGGGCGGGGGAAUGGUAGGGGGAGGUGUUCAGAACUUAGCAGGAGUGGGGUCUGACUCUCCAGGGAUGUGGAUGGAACAACAGCCCUGUUUGCACUGAGUGGGCAGCCAGUCAUUGGCCUGGAGCUGAUGGUCACCAACCUGCCAUCGGACCCAGCCCAGCCCCAGGCUGAUGGGGAUGAUGCCCAUGAAGCCCAGCUCCUGGUCAUGCUUCCUGACUCACUGCACUACUCAGGGGUCCGGGCCCUGGACCCUGCGGAGAAGCCACUCUGCCUGUCCAAUGAGAAUGCCUCCCAUGUUGAGU